RNAcentral lists this ribosomal RNA (496 nucleotides) under Lycodon futsingensis. Its description in RNAcentral is "partial 12S ribosomal RNA". It matches the Rfam family "Bacterial small subunit ribosomal RNA", at positions 875 to 1520 of the family's 1533-position model. Lineage: Eukaryota; Metazoa; Chordata; Lepidosauria; Squamata; Colubridae. The record is from RNAcentral.
GCCUAACCAUAACACAACAAUAAAUUACACAUUGUUCGCCAAAUAACUACGAGUAAAAACUUAAAAUUUAAAAGACUUGACGGUACCCCACAACAACCUAGAGGAGCCUGUUCAAUAACCGAUACUCCACGAUUAAUCCAACCUUCCCUAGCCCACCAGUCUAUAUACCGCCGUCGCCAGCCUACCUUAUGAAAGAAACAAAGUAAGCCAAACAGCCAUACACUAAUACGACAGGUCGAGGUGUAACUUAUGGGAAGGACUAGAAUGGGCUACAUUAUCUAACUCAGAUAAUACGGAUAAACUAUGAAACAAGAAACUAAAGGCGGAUUUAGCAGUACACUAUGAACAACAAUACCUAGUCGAAAUCAACGCAAUGGGGUGCGUACACACCGCCCGUCAUCCCUGUCAACCAACUAAAACAUUCAUAAACACAAACAAACCUUUAAAGCAGGGCAAGUCGUAACACGGUAAGCGUACUGGAAAGUGCGCUUAGAAA